This 109-nucleotide ribosomal RNA is filed under the name Seriola lalandi dorsalis. Lineage: Eukaryota; Metazoa; Chordata; Actinopteri; Carangiformes; Carangidae. The record is from RNAcentral.
GCUUACGGCCAUACCACUCUGAACACGCCCGAUCUCGGAAGCCAAACAGGGUCGGGCCUGGUUAGUACUUGGAUGGGAGACCGCCUGGGAAUACCAGGUGCUGUAAGCU